GCCAGGUGAGGUGGCACAUGCCUGUAUUCCCAGCUACUUGGAAGGCUGAGGUCGGAGGAUCGCUUGAGCCCAGGAGUUCUGGGCUGUAGUGUGCUAUGCUGAUUGGGUGUCUGCACUAAGUUCAGCAUCAAUAUGGUAACCUCCCAGGAGCAGGGGACCACCAGGUUGCCUAAGGAGGGAUGAACUGACCCAGGUUGGAAAAGGAGCAGGUCAAAACUCUUGUGCUGAUCAGUAAUGGAAUCAUGCCUGUGAAUAACCACUGCACUCCAGCCUGGGCAACAUAGCAAAGCCCCAUCUCU
Unclassified non-coding RNA from Cebus imitator (Panamanian white-faced capuchin), 299 nucleotides. It matches the Rfam family "Metazoan signal recognition particle RNA". From Rfam's summary of the family: The signal recognition particle (SRP) is a universally conserved ribonucleoprotein. It is involved in the co-translational targeting of proteins to membranes. The record is from Ensembl. Lineage: Eukaryota; Metazoa; Chordata; Mammalia; Primates; Cebidae.